Molecule: ribosomal RNA, 380 nt
Filed under: uncultured cyanobacterium
Lineage: Bacteria; Bacillati; Cyanobacteriota
Description: bacterial SSU rRNA
Rfam family: Bacterial small subunit ribosomal RNA
Source: RNAcentral
CGAAAGCCUGACGGAGCAAGACCGCGUGAGGGAGGAAGGCUCUUGGGUUGUAAACCUCUUUUCUUUGGGAAGAACAAAAUGACGGUACCAAAGGAAUCAGCCUCGGCUAACUCCGUGCCAGCAGCCGCGGUAAUACGGAGGAGGCAAGCGUUAUCCGGAAUGAUUGGGCGUAAAGCGUCCGCAGGUGGCAAUGUAAGUCUGCUGUCAAAGCACGGGGCUUAACUCCGUAAAGGCAGUGGAAACUGAAUAGCUAGAGUGCCGUAGGGGUAGAGGGAAUUCCCGGUGUAGCGGUGAAAUGCGUAGAGAUCGGGAAGAACAUCGGUGGCGAAAGCGCUCUGCUGGGCCGCAACUGACACUCAGGGACGAAAGCUAGGGGAGCG